This 500-nucleotide ribosomal RNA is filed under the name uncultured bacterium. RNAcentral describes it as "partial 16S ribosomal RNA". It matches the Rfam family "Bacterial small subunit ribosomal RNA", at positions 30 to 523 of the family's 1533-position model. The record is from RNAcentral.
AUUGAACGCUGGCGGAAUGCUUUACACAUGCAAGUCGAACGGCAGCACGGACUUCGGUCUGGUGGCGAGUGGCGAACGGGUGAGUAAUGUAUCGGAACGUGCCCAGUCGUGGGGGAUAACGUAGUGAAAAUUACGCUAAUACCGCAUACGAUCUAUGGAUGAAAGCGGGGGAUCGCAAGACCUCGCGCGAUUGGAGGGGCCGAUAGCAGAUUAGGGAGUUGGUGGGGUAAAGGCCCACCAAGCCAACGAUCUGUAGCUGGUCUGAGAGGACGACCAGCCACACUGGAACUGAGACACGGUCCAGACUCCUACGGGCGGCAGCAGUGGGGAAUUUUGGACAAUGGGCGAAAGCCUGAUCCAGCCAUUCCGCGUGCAGGAUGAAGGCCCUCGGGUUGUAAACUGCUUUUGUACAGAACGAAAAGGUUUCUACUAAUACUAGGAGCUCAUGACGGUACUGUAAGAAUAAGCACCGGCUAACUACGUGCCAGCAGCCGCGGUAA